UACGGGGGGGGCAAGCGUUGUUCGGAAUUACUGGGCGUAAAGGGCUCGUAGGCGGCCAACUAAGUCAGACGUGAAAUCCCUCGGCUUAACCGGGGAACUGCGUCUGAUACUGGAUGGCUUGAGGUUGGGAGAGGGAUGCGGAAUUCCAGGUGUAGCGGUGAAAUGCGUAGAUAUCUGGAGGAACACCGGUGGCGAAGGCGGCAUCCUGGACCGACACUGACGCUGAUGAGCGAAAGCCAGGGGAGCAAACGGG
This 253-nucleotide ribosomal RNA is filed under the name uncultured bacterium. RNAcentral describes it as "partial 16S ribosomal RNA". It matches the Rfam family "Bacterial small subunit ribosomal RNA", at positions 524 to 776 of the family's 1533-position model. The record is from RNAcentral.